UUACGGUCAAAUCACGCUGAAACACCGGUUCUCGUACGAUCACCGAAGUUAAGCAGCGUAGAGCCAGGUCAGUACUUAGAUGGGGGACCGCUUGGGAACACCUGGUACUGUAA
Molecule: ribosomal RNA, 113 nt
Filed under: Acanthosepion pharaonis
Lineage: Eukaryota; Metazoa; Mollusca; Cephalopoda; Sepiida; Sepiidae
Source: RNAcentral